Molecule: long non-coding RNA, 531 nt
Filed under: Anser brachyrhynchus (Pink-footed goose)
Lineage: Eukaryota; Metazoa; Chordata; Aves; Anseriformes; Anatidae
Description: lncRNA (ENSABRG00000007961.1)
Source: RNAcentral
CAGAAUAUUACAAUUGGAUAUGGGGGGAGAAAUAAUGCCACCACAGAAAGCAAUAUGUGGAAACACCUUUCCUCAUAUCUCCCUCACAUCCAAGUUUUAGUUAUCUGAACAGCAGGAAUCCUACAGGCCAACAGCACCAAUGCUUUGGUGUAUUACCUCUCAAAUAGCCUGGAAAAAUAUCUUCAAAUAAAUCUUGAUUUGCCCAGGUGUGCCUUUUUUCUUAAUAAUAGUAGAAAUAAUUGAAAUCAGGUAAGCAAGCUCUUUGCAGAGUCAUUUGUCAUGAAACAUAGAUUCAGAUCAAAUGCUUCAUGAAGCUUGGAACAAGGACUAGAAGAAUGAGAUGUGCACAGAAAGAAAAUGUAAAGCAAAAGUAAGAAGUACCCAAACAGAGGAAGGUGAAAGGAAUGGACCUGCCACACCCAAUUGCCGCUAUGGCUGUGGAAUAUCUGCAGAAGGAGGUGACUAUUUGAAAAGUAAUCAGAACUCUCCCAGAAGAUCAUGAGUGGAAUAAAUGCUUCUGUCAUUAUAUCA